UGAGUAACACGUGGGCAAUCUGCCCUGCACUUCGGGAUAAGCCUGGGAAACUGGGUCUAAUACCGGAUAGGACCUUUAGACGCAUGUCUUUUGGUGGAAAGCUUUUGCGGUGUGGGAUGGGCCCGCGGCCUAUCAGCUUGUUGGUGGGGUGACGGCCUACCAAGGCGACGACGGGUAGCCGGCCUGAGAGGGUGUCCGGCCACACUGGGACUGAGAUACGGCCCAGACUCCUACGGGAGGCAGCAGUGGGGAAUAUUGCACAAUGGGCGCAAGCCUGAUGCAGCGACGCCGCGUGGGGGAUGACGGCCUUCGGGUUGUAAACCUCUUUCACCAUCGACGAAGGUUCGGGUUUUCUCGGAUUGACGGUAGGUGGAGAAGAAGCACCGGCCAACUACGUGCCAGCAGCCGCGGUAAUACGUAGGGUGCGAGCGUUGUCCGGAAUUACUGGGCGUAAAGAGCUCGUAGGUGGUUUGUCGCGUUGUUCGUGAAAUCUCACGGCUUAACUGUGAGCGUGCGGGCGAUACGGGCAGACUAGAGUACUGCAGGGGAGACUGGAAUUCCUGGUGUAGCGGUGGAAUGCGCAGAUAUCAGGAGGAACACCGGUGGCGAAGGCGGGUCUCUGGGCAGUAACUGACGCUGAGGAGCGAAAGCGUGGGGAGCGAACAGGAUUAGAUACCCUGGUAGUCCACGCCGUAAACGGUGGGUACUAGGUGUGGGUUUCCUUCCUUGGGAUCCGUGCCGUAGCUAACGCAUUAAGUACCCCCGCCUGGGGAGUACGGGCCGCAAGGCUAAAACUCAAAAGGAAUUGACGGGGGGCCCGCACAA
This 825-nucleotide ribosomal RNA is filed under the name Mycobacterium sp. RNAcentral's name for it is "bacterial SSU rRNA". It matches the Rfam family "Bacterial small subunit ribosomal RNA", at positions 107 to 928 of the family's 1533-position model. The record is from RNAcentral. Lineage: Bacteria; Bacillati; Actinomycetota; Actinomycetes; Mycobacteriales; Mycobacteriaceae.